This 511-nucleotide ribosomal RNA is filed under the name uncultured bacterium. RNAcentral describes it as "bacterial SSU rRNA". It matches the Rfam family "Bacterial small subunit ribosomal RNA", at positions 28 to 526 of the family's 1533-position model. The record is from RNAcentral.
GACGAACGCUGGCGGCGUGCCUAAUACAUGCAAGUUGAACGCUAAAGCUUUAACUGGUGCUUGCACCGACCUAAGUUUUUAGAGUAGCGGACGGGUGAGUAACACGUGGGUAACCUGCCCAUCAGAGGGGGAUAACACUUGGAAACAGGUGCUAAUACCGCAUAAUUCCUUUUACCGCAUGGUAAAAGGCUGAAAGGCGCUUCUGGUGUCACUGAUGGAUGGACCCGCGGUGCAUUAGCUAGUCGGUGGGGUAACGGCCUACCGAGGCGAUGAUGCAUAGCCGACCUGAGAGGGUGAUCGGCCACAUUGGGACUGAGACACGGCCCAAACUCCUACGGGAGGCAGCAGUAGGGAAUCUUCGGCAAUGGACGAAAGUCUGAUGCAGCGACGCCGCGUGGGGGAUGAAGGCCUUCGGGUUGUAAACUCCUUUCGCCAUUGACGAAGCCCUUUGGGGUGACGGUAGGUGGAGAAGAAGCACCGGCUAACUACGUGCCAGCAGCCGCAGUAACAC